This 708-nucleotide ribosomal RNA is filed under the name Bathyomphalus contortus. RNAcentral describes it as "12S ribosomal RNA". The record is from RNAcentral. Lineage: Eukaryota; Metazoa; Mollusca; Gastropoda; Planorbidae.
AAUAUACUUUAAUUUAAUAUAAAUUUUAUUAGUAAGAAAAAUUUUUAUGGAACUUUUUGUAUUUUCCAGCUAAUAACUUUGAAUAAAACUAAAAAUAGUAUUUCAGUUAACUUACUUUUUUUGACAAAAUUGGUGCCAGCAGUCGCGGUCAGACCAGUAAAAAAAAUAAAAUUAUUAGAAAACUUAAACCAUCAAUCUUUACUACUUAAAUAGUAAAACAUUAAUAGAAUAUAACCAAAAAAAAUAUUAUUGAAAAAAUCCAAAAGAAAACCAGGAUUAGAUACCCUGUUAUUUUAGAAAGAAAUAAAAUUUCUAAGCACUAAAAUUUUUAAAAUUAAAACUUAAAAAUUAUGGCGGUAAACAAAAUUUUCAGGGGAACUUACCAGAUAAUUGAUAACCCACAAGUUUCUCAACUUAAAUUUAAAGUUUAUGUAUUGCCGUGUAUGUUUCUUUUUAGACGAAACAUUAAUUAAAAAACCACAGGUCAUAAUAUAGCAAAUAUUUAAGUCUUAAGGUGAGUUACAAUAUAAAAUUAUCGGAAUUUCAUUUUAAAAAAUGGAAAAAAGAUGGACUUGAAAGUAAAUAAAAAUAAUAAAUAUUGAAUUUUUUUUUGUUUGUGUACAAAUCGCCCGUCACUCUUUUUCUAGAAUUUUUAAAAAAGACAAGUCGUAACAUAGUAGAGGUAGUGGAAACUGUCUCUUUUUUUAA